GGCGGGUGAAAUAGUAAUAAACUUUACUCA
This 30-nucleotide non-coding RNA is filed under the name Rattus norvegicus (Norway rat). The record is from RNAcentral. Lineage: Eukaryota; Metazoa; Chordata; Mammalia; Rodentia; Muridae.